UAAGGUGGUGGACGCCGUAUCGUAUAGGU
RNAcentral lists this small RNA (29 nucleotides) under Bombyx mori (domestic silkworm). RNAcentral describes it as "ovarian small RNA-5776". Lineage: Eukaryota; Metazoa; Arthropoda; Insecta; Lepidoptera; Bombycidae. The record is from RNAcentral.